Non-coding RNA from Manis javanica (Malayan pangolin), 976 nucleotides. The record is from RefSeq and is a predicted model, not a curated record. NCBI's taxonomy places the organism in Eukaryota, Metazoa, Chordata, Mammalia, Pholidota, Manidae.
UUUACCUCAGCCUCGCAUCUCCGGGCAGGCUUAGCAACCUCUUAGGAAGAUCCGAGGCAAACAGAAACAAAAAACAACCUGGACCUGGGUUUGAGCCCCUGUGCACCCGGCCGUGAGUUCCUGCCAGGUGCCCUGGACCAGGACCCACCAUCUCUGGAGCCUGCGUCCGCCUCCCUCACGGCAUUCAGUAUUAGUUUUCCUCUCGGCCGGCCAUCUUCCUGUCCAGUGGAACUUUCCCAGCACCCCCGCUCAGUCAUGCUUCAGCCCCUUACCCUCUCAUAGACCAAGAUCGAUGCCUGCAUGUGCUAGAUGCAUGCCUUUGAGGAGAUCACCACCCCCAUUUUAUGGAUGGACAGUCUGAGGCUCAGAGGGCUGAAACAACACCCAGGUCUCCUAGGAAAGAGCUGAGAGAAAACAAAAGCCACCUGCUAACAGCUUCCUGGAUGCCAGGCACUGCCUUGAGGAGCACUUUCCAUAAAAUAGCUCUCAACCGAUCCAUGAGGCCUGUACUUUAUUAUCCCCAUUGCACCGGUAAGGAAACAGCACAGAGAGGGCAAUAACUUGCCCCAGGUCCUCAGCUAAUAAAUGACAGAGCUGGAAUUCCAAAGUAGGCAGCUGGCUCUGGGGCCCUCGCCACUUGCUCUGAGUCUCUUUCUCCAACUAUGAAAUAGAACUGGUAACAUCUACUCUUACAGGUCUGAGGGGGACAAAUGAGAUUAUAAUUUACCGGGAUGCAUUAUGACAAGUGUGAAAUGUGGAGCAAGGGGUUGCCAUUCCAGAACAGAGAGUGAGGGAGGCCAGGAAAAGCAGCCAGCCGCCAGCCAGGCCCCCGCGGACACCCUUGCCUGUCUCUUCGCUGUCUUCCUAAGGCUCAUGAGCCCCGUGCUCCCACCAGUUUUUCCAUUGGGUGCAUGUGUGUUUAAUUCUUGUUACAGAGAGGAAUUUGGUAAGUAGUGGGUUCUUCCUCAAUGUAGAA